Molecule: long non-coding RNA, 344 nt
Organism: Mus musculus (house mouse)
Lineage: Eukaryota; Metazoa; Chordata; Mammalia; Rodentia; Muridae
Product: predicted gene, 51869
Exons: 3
Source: RefSeq, a predicted model, not a curated record
AAGUUGGGGGGAGGGGGGCAGUGUGAUGAAGAGGAGAUCCAGAGAAAGGCCUGUUGUAGCUCACACGUCAAGGUCUAAAAUGGCAAAUCCUCCCUCCACCAUCCAGCCCCCACCAGCCACGGUCACAGGUGGGGGUCAGACACCUUCCGGGAAUGUGUGCAGUUCCGCCUUCGGCGUGGAAGUCAGGAACCCUCAGCUCCUCCCUCCCAUGAAACAGAGCAUGACCCAGAGAAGAAAGUUUUCCAUUUCCUACCCUCACGCUCCAGUGGCCCAGGAGUACUCACCAUUUUACUGUCAGGUGAGAGGAGACUGUGGCCUGGGUCCAGGCUGGCUGGGGAGACUUG